GAUGAACGCUGGCGGCGUGCCUAAUACAUGCAAGUCGAGCGAACGGACGAGAAGCUUGCUUCUCUGAUGUUAGCGGCGGACGGGUGAGUAACACGUGGAUAACCUACCUAUAAGACUAGGAUAACUUCGGGAAACCGGAGCUAAUACCGGAUAAUAUUUUGAACCGCAUGGUUCAAAAGUGAAAGACGGUCUUGCUGUCACUUAUAGAUGGAUCCGCGCUGCAUUAGCUAGUUGGCAAGGUAACGGCUUACCAAGGCAACGAUGCAUAGCCGACCUGAGAGGGUGAUCGGCCACACUGGAACUGAGACACGGUCCAGACUCCUACGGGAGGCAGCAGUAGGGAAUCUUCCGCAAUGGGCGAAAGCCUGACGGAGCAACGCCGCGUGAGUGAUGAAGGUCUUCGGAUCGUAAAACUCUGUUAUUAGGGAAGAACAUAUGUGUAAGUAACUGUGCACAUCUUGACGGUACCUAAUCAGAAAGCCACGGCUAACUACGUG
Molecule: ribosomal RNA, 497 nt
Filed under: uncultured bacterium
Lineage: Bacteria
Description: partial 16S ribosomal RNA
Rfam family: Bacterial small subunit ribosomal RNA
Source: RNAcentral